RNAcentral lists this ribosomal RNA (499 nucleotides) under uncultured archaeon. Its description in RNAcentral is "bacterial SSU rRNA". It matches the Rfam family "Archaeal small subunit ribosomal RNA", at positions 378 to 879 of the family's 1478-position model. The record is from RNAcentral.
ACCCCUCGUGCUUACCGAAAGGUAGGCUUUUAUUAUGUGUAAUGAGCAUAACGAAUAAGUGGUGGGCAAGACUGGUGCCAGCAGCCGCGGUAAUACCAGCGCCACAAGUGGAGAUCACUUUUAUUGGGUCUAAAGUGUCCGUAGCUGGUUUGAUAAGUCUCUUGUGAAAUUUCUUUGGCUUAACCUAGAAACUGCAAGAGAAACUGUUUAACUUGAGACCGGGAGAGGUGUGAAGUAUUGUUUGGGUAGCGGUAAAAUGUUAUAAUCCUUACAGGACUAACUAAUGCGAAGGCAUCACACUAGAACGGAUCUGACAGUGAGGGACGAGAGCUAGGGUAGCGAACCGGAUUAGAUACCCGGGUAGUCCUAGCCGUAAACGCUGCGGGUUACGCUUUGCUAAAUCUAUGAGAUUUAGCAAGGGGGAAGCGAAGGCAUUAAACCCGCCACCUGGGAAGUACAGCCGCAAGGCCGAAACUUAAAGGAAUUGGCGGGGGAGCAC